UACGAAGGGUGCAAGCGUUACUCGGAAUUACUGGGCGUAAAGCGUGCGUAGGUGGUGAGUUAAGUCUGUCGUGAAAGCCCCGGGCUCAACCUGGGAAUGGCAGUGGAAACUAGGGGACUGGAAUCUGGCAGAGGGGGGUGGAAUGCCGCGUGUAGCAGUGAAAUGCGUAGGGAUGCGGCGGAACACCGAUGGCGAAGGCAGCCCCCUGGGCUGAGAUUGACGCUCAGGCACGAAAGCGUGGGGAGCAAACAGG
RNAcentral lists this ribosomal RNA (253 nucleotides) under uncultured bacterium. RNAcentral describes it as "partial 16S ribosomal RNA". It matches the Rfam family "Bacterial small subunit ribosomal RNA", at positions 524 to 776 of the family's 1533-position model. The record is from RNAcentral.